AUGUCGAGGGCUCAAGAUGGGAUUCUCAAGUAUAUGCUGAAGCUUAUGGAAGUCUGCAAAGCUCGUGGGUUUGUGUAUGGGAUCAUUCCUGAGAAGGGGAAGCCGGUUAGUGGUUCGUCUGAUAACAUUAGAGCCUGGUGGAAGGAAAAGAGCAUGCUCCAAGACCUGCAAGAUGCAACGCUUGGGUCACUCUUGUCUUCUUUGAUGCAACACUGUGAUCCUCCUCAGAGGAAAUUCCUCAUUGGAAAAGGGUGUUCCUCCGCCUUGGUGGCCGACUGGGAAUGA
RNAcentral lists this long non-coding RNA (285 nucleotides) under Vicia faba (fava bean). Lineage: Eukaryota; Viridiplantae; Streptophyta; Magnoliopsida; Fabales; Fabaceae. The record is from RNAcentral.